AUUUACAUAAUUUAAAAUAAAAUAUUAUAUUUUCAUUAUAAAAAUAGGGUUUCCUUGUAAAUA
Molecule: transfer RNA, 63 nt
Filed under: Cucujoidea sp. 5 KM-2017
Lineage: Eukaryota; Metazoa; Arthropoda; Insecta; Coleoptera
Description: tRNA-Glu
Source: RNAcentral